Molecule: long non-coding RNA, 589 nt
Organism: Durio zibethinus
Lineage: Eukaryota; Viridiplantae; Streptophyta; Magnoliopsida; Malvales; Malvaceae
Source: RefSeq, a predicted model, not a curated record
UCUCUUCUUUGUAUCAAAAUACUGGUUCUUUUUUACAGUAAAGCUAAUCCUUUUGGACUUAAACGAAACAACCCACUUUCCAGAAUUGCUUUUAUGUCCUUCUUUUGUGCUUUCUAGCAGGUAUUCAUGGCUUCCCUCACUGCAAGUUAGCCUCAACCACUGUUUUUACAAGGUAGAAAGACCCUUGUCAGGACUCUUCGGAAACUCCCAGUUUCAUCUGCUUGAGAAUGCGAAAUUGUGCUGUUAUUGUGAACGCUACAGCGGUUUAUAUAUCGCUAUCUCUUGUUCAAACCUCAUCGGCAAGUAGAAUUCCUUGACUUUUGAGAUUGGUUGAUGCUGAAAUCCUUAGAUGUUACAUGAUACAUGAGAUAUGAUUUCCUACCUUGAAGAGAACACCAUAGGUGAUUUGUGAAACUUUAACUUAGUCUGGAACAAACAACCUAAUUCUGAACUGUUCCAAAUCAUGUAAAAGUCAAUAUCUGAAAUAUUUGGACAGUGGAUUCUGCUGCCAAAUCGUACUUAAAUGUAGUGGAGGCUCUCCAUUUUGUUUUACAUUUUAGCAUUCUAUAUUGAAAAAGAUAUUUUUCUA